This is a long non-coding RNA of Paramisgurnus dabryanus, 812 nucleotides long. RefSeq lists it as uncharacterized. NCBI's taxonomy places the organism in Eukaryota, Metazoa, Chordata, Actinopteri, Cypriniformes, Cobitidae. The record is from RefSeq and is a predicted model, not a curated record.
UUCUUACUGUUUAGCACAAGUGUGUCCCGCGCAAGUUUGAAUUUCUCUCAGUAAGGACUGACGGACGGCCAUUCACUCAUAAAACCUUUUAAAGCACAAGUGUUUCCCGUGCAAAUUAGAAUUUCUCUCAGUAAGGACUGACGGAUGGCCAUUCACUCAUAAAACCUUUUAAAGGUUAGCACGAAUGCAUCCAGCAUAAUUUUGGAUCUUUACCAUUGAGGAGACUGGCUGACUGUUCUCAACCAACCAUCAUUCACACGCAAAAACUUUAAAGGUAAGUAUGAACGUGUCUAGAGCAGUUUUGGAUCUUUACCAUUGAGGAGGUUGACUGACUUUCAUCUACCAACUGUCAUUAACACAACAAAAACUAAAGAAAUGUUACUACAGGUGGACCUAUUCAGUUACUCAUUAUGCUGUGAGUACACCACAAUUUUAUCAGUGAAACAAUAAUGUUUGUUUUUUCUCAAUGCUUGGCAUAGACAAAUGUGACCCUGUGUAAUUUGGAAAUUUCACGGGAAAUGUGUACGUCUUAAAAAUGUUUAAAUGUCGUUUGAGUUAAGGAACAGUACACUGAUUUAUUAAAAGUGUGCAAUACACUGAGUCUAUUAAAGUCAUAAAGGAAUACUUGAUAUAUUUCAUAAAGGAAUGUGUAAAUCUAAUAUUAGUUUUAAUGUGAAUUUGGACAGAAAAGCAAAAAAAUGUUUGUAAAAUAAACAAUUGUUUAAUAAACUGUAAUAAUUUUACCCUUUUCUGUCAUCAUUUUUUAUACUAAUGUUUGGUUUAAGGCAAUCGGUUUCCUCAAACGGUUUAAG